UACGGGGGGAGCAAGCGUUGUUCGGAUUUACUGGGCGUAAAGGGCGCGUAGGCGGCGCAACAAGUCACUUGUGAAAUCUCCGGGCUUAACCCGGAGCGGGCAAGUGAUACUGUCGUGCUAGAGUGCGGAAGGGGCUACUGGAAUUCUCGGUGUAGCGGUGAAAUGCGUAGAUAUCGGGAGGAACACCUGCGGCGAAGGCGGGUAGCUGGGCCGACACUGACGCUGAGGCGCGAAAGCCAGGGGAGCGAACGGG
This 253-nucleotide ribosomal RNA is filed under the name uncultured bacterium. RNAcentral's name for it is "partial 16S ribosomal RNA". It matches the Rfam family "Bacterial small subunit ribosomal RNA", at positions 524 to 776 of the family's 1533-position model. The record is from RNAcentral.